RNAcentral lists this ribosomal RNA (337 nucleotides) under uncultured bacterium. RNAcentral's name for it is "bacterial SSU rRNA". It matches the Rfam family "Bacterial small subunit ribosomal RNA", at positions 84 to 422 of the family's 1533-position model. The record is from RNAcentral.
CUUCGGUCCUAGCGGCGGACGGGUGAGUAACGCGUGGGAACGUGCCCUUUCUUUCGGAAUAGCCCCGGGAAACUGGGAGUAAUGCCGGAUACGCCCCUUUUGUAGAGAUAUGGGAGGGGGAAAGAUUUAUCGGGGAAGGAUCGGCCCGCGUUGGAUUAGGUAGUUGGUGGGGUAAUGGCCUACCAAGCCGACGAUCCAUAGCUGGUUUGAGAGGAUGAUCAGCCACACUGGGACUGAGACACGGCCCAGACUCCUACGGGAGGCAGCAGUGGGGAAUCUUGGACAAUGGGGGCAACCCUGAUCCAGCCAUGCCGCGUGAGCGAUGAAGGCCUUAGGG